CCACCCCGCCCCCUUCCCUCUCCGUCUCAUCUCUCUCCCAUCUCUCUCUCGCUCCUCCUCUCCCAGAUCCGGCGCUGCGCCUCUGGCGGGCCGUCGCCGCCGCCUCCACCACGGCGACCCUCCUCCGUCCGUCCGGCUCCCUCGCCUGUCACCUCCCCCUCGCGCCCCACUCCGCCUCCCCGGUGUCGGCGCUCCUGGGCGUCGUGGUGUCUCCUCCCUGACGGAGCGCCUCCCACCUGUGAGUGCCUCCCACUCUCCUUCCCCUUCCCCUUAUCCUUGGAGCUCCUGCCCAGCAGUGCCGCCGCCAUUGGAGCUCGUCCUCUCCGUCCUCGCCUCCAUCUCCUCUCCGUCCUCGCCUCCAUCUCCCUGCCGCCCGCCGGAUCCCCACCAACCCGAGCUACUCCCUGGUCCCGUGGUCUGCUGCGCCUUGGAGGACGAUCCUCCCCUGCUCCCCGCGCUGGACGUCGACGAUCCCGUGGUCUGUCUCCCUAUUCAAAUCCUCCCUCGUUCCUCAAUUUGCAACCUGUCUGUUUUUUGGAUCUAGAUUUUGUGGGGAUUAAUGGCAUCCUUUAAGUAUAUUUCAGAGACGCACAAGUGUAGCAUCUGCAGGUGGCUUGAGGAACUGUAUCAGGAUUGCGGCAAUCUUCUACUCCUGCAUCUAUUUUUUUUUUUUUGCCCUUGGUUCAGAAAGGUACAUGGGGAAUUACUUCUGUUCUACAUUUUAUUUCUUCAGGGGUUCGAUGCAGUGCUCGAUUCAGAGUCAUCCAUUGCGGGGCCCUAUCCAGUUACUAUUUAAUCCUGUGAUUUUGUUUUUACUCUGUUGGUUGGGUGCAAAUUAGACAUCUGUAUAUCUGUUGGUUCGUUGUUUUAAAUAUGACUGACUCUGUUACUUUGUAUCUGAAUUGUAUCAAACUAUAAUAUGUUGUCCCAACAUGCAUAAUAUUUUGUGCCACAUCUGGAUUGAUCCUUGUUUGUCCAUAUCAAUAGCUGAAUAGUAUUUUACUGUGGCUAGUUGCAUGUACAGAUUACUUACAUGAAUGCAAUAUUGCUAAUUUGUUGUGCCUAUUUACUCCUUGUACAAUGUGUUGAAUUCAUGUGCAAUUGCUUGUUCGUGACUUACAAGUGGAGAAGUGCCUUUGAGCCUAUCAUUCAGUUAAGUUUCCAAUUCAUUCCAGGGCAUUAUAAUUAUUAUACAUUUAUUCAAUAAUUCAAUCAGUUUGAGUACUAGUGUUUCUGAAGUAGUUCAAUUUUUUGCAUCAUCUAGUCUGUAAGUGGCAUGGUGCAUGUAACUUCGUCAGUAAGAGCCAAGUUGGUCGCUAUCUGAUUGAUUAAUGAAUGAUAUGUCAUAUAUAAUACAGCACACGAUUUGAUUAAUUGUGGCACUUAUUAGUAUACUACAUCAUUAUGAUGAGCUUUCUAAUAGUCUGAUUUGGUGGUACAAGUAAAUACAUAGUGUAGGUCUGAAGAAUAACUACUACUAUUAGUACAAGGGAAAUUAUUGUUCUGUUAUUAGAUUACAUGUUAGCCAUGAACUUACAGGAGCUUGAUUGUUCUGGAUGACCUUGGAAAGGCAACAUCUUCCUCUGAUGGAGAUUUUCUCAUGUUACCUUGAGGUUAAGGUGUUAGAAACUGCUUAUUCUGGUGUGAUUCUAAGAAGCAAUGUAGCAACAGAACUAUGAAGGAAUGAGCAGCAGAAGGGAGAAAUGAUGUCGCUGCCAUAAUAGCAUUUUUGCUCGUAAUGUAUCUCAACUUGAUUGUUGGUCAUGUACUAAUCUAAACGUAGUGUUUAUGCCACUUUAGAUAAUGUAUAUUACUGUGUUUAUGCCACUAUUGAUGUAAACCUAUGUGCUGCUGUGUGUAUGAAGAAAAAAAAUAUACUAUUGAUAUUUUUUUUU
Molecule: long non-coding RNA, 1895 nt
Organism: Panicum virgatum (switchgrass)
Lineage: Eukaryota; Viridiplantae; Streptophyta; Magnoliopsida; Poales; Poaceae
Exons: 2
Source: RefSeq, a predicted model, not a curated record